This 468-nucleotide ribosomal RNA is filed under the name uncultured bacterium. RNAcentral's name for it is "partial 16S ribosomal RNA". It matches the Rfam family "Bacterial small subunit ribosomal RNA", at positions 28 to 507 of the family's 1533-position model. The record is from RNAcentral.
GACGAACGCUGGCGGCGUGCUUAACACAUGCAAGUCGAACGGAAAGGCCCUGCUUUUGUGGGGUGCUCGAGUGGCGAACGGGUGAGUAACACGUGAGUUACCUGCCCUUGACUUUGGGAUAACUUCAGGAAACUGGGGCUAAUACCGGAUAGGAGCUCCUGCUGCAUGGUGGGGGUUGGAAAGUUUCGGUGGUUGGGGAUGGACUCGCGGCUUAUCAGCUUGUUGGUGGGGUAGUGGCUUACCAAGGCUUUGACGGGUAGCCGGCCUGAGAGGGUGACAGGCCAAAUUGGGAUUGAAAUACGGCCCAGACUCCUACGGGAGGGAGCAGUGGGGAAUAGUGCACAAUGGGCGGAAGCAUGAUGCAGCAACGCAGCGUGGGGGAUGACGGCCUUCGGGUUGUAAACCGAUUUCGCCUGUGACGAAGCGUGAGUGACGGUAAUGGGUAAAGAAGCACCGGCUAACUACGUG